AUUGAACGCUGGCGGCAUGCCUUACACAUGCAAGUCGAACGGUAACAGGUCUUCGGAUGCUGACGAGUGGCGAACGGGUGAGUAAUACAUCGGAACGUGCCUAGUAGUGGGGGAUAACUACUCGAAAGAGUGGCUAAUACCGCAUGAGAUCUACGGAUGAAAGCAGGGGAUCGCAAGACAUUGCGCUACUAGAGCGGCCGAUGGCAGAUUAGGUAGUUGGUGGGAUAAAAGCUUACCAAGCCGACGAUCUGUAGCUGGUCUGAGAGGACGAUCAGCCACACUGGGACUGAGACACGGCCCAGACUCCUACGGGAGGCAGCAGUGGGGAAUUUUGGACAAUGGGCGCAAGCCUGAUCCAGCAAUGCCGCGUGCAGGAUGAAGGCCUUCGGGUUGUAAACUGCUUUUGUACGGAACGAAAAGCCCCGGGUUAAUACCCUGGGGUCAUGACGGUACCGUAAGAAUAAGCACCGGCUAACUACGUGCCAGCAGCCGCAGUAA
This 498-nucleotide ribosomal RNA is filed under the name uncultured bacterium. RNAcentral describes it as "partial 16S ribosomal RNA". It matches the Rfam family "Bacterial small subunit ribosomal RNA", at positions 30 to 523 of the family's 1533-position model. The record is from RNAcentral.